Long non-coding RNA from Phycodurus eques (leafy seadragon), 1162 nucleotides. RefSeq lists it as uncharacterized. Lineage: Eukaryota; Metazoa; Chordata; Actinopteri; Syngnathiformes; Syngnathidae. The record is from RefSeq and is a predicted model, not a curated record. The transcript has 5 exons.
AAGUGUCGGACUUCCGGAAUGUGCGGUGAGCUGGCGAUCAUCCCAUCUGACUCACUUGGCCGAGAGACUUGCCAACCAGCUGGAAGAUGUCUUCGGCCGGGACACCCAUGGGCUCGGCCACCUUCACUGCCAACAUGUCCAGACUCAAGACAGUUCCUUUGGGGAUCUUCACCUUGGCCACCACAGACUUCCCCAGCUGGAGAAAAGGAGCAGUUAUGGUCCCAGAUUUGCGCAUUAUACCAACGAAGGCGACCAGAUGGCCAGCGGAUCUCUGCAACCAAUCUUCCGCAUCUCCAGGAAGAGGAAAUUUGAGAUUGACAUGGAACCUCAGACCUCUUUGAUCCAGGCCAGUAAAUGUGCGGUCAAGUCCUCUCCCGGGGGAGUGGUCAGUCCCAUCUUUCAGGCACGCAUCAAUGUUUCAUUGUCUUAAAGUUAUGGAAGUGAAGCACAUUUAUGAGCUGACGACAAACACUCACUGGUUAGUCAUCAGACAAAUCUACAUGGAGCGCCCACUUGACACUUCUUUAUCUGAGCAUCAUGUGGCUGUAACAACAUUUGUACAAUCCGAAAACAACAAAAAUGAAUCUGAAAGCUACUAAAUGUUGAGAAAUCAUUGUUUUAUGAUACUAUCCUUCUUCAAAUACGAUAAUAUUGGACAUUAGCUAAUUUAUAAUUGACGAUGUAUGUUCACAGCUGAUGGAUUACAUUUUGAGGACUGUCUUCAUUGAAACUCUUCUUCAGGAUGGGGACUGUGUGAUCCGUGCGCUGGCUCUGACCUGCACCCGUUUUUGGGUUAUAGUCUGACUCGAGACGUUCCGCAAGGCAGCACACCUUCACUGGCUAGACUUAGUGUUGUGACCUGGAGUCUCUACUCCCCUGAAUUUAGGAACAAAUUCAGAAUCCCCUAUGUCAUUGCCACCCGUGUCCAAUGUUAUACUGAUUAAAAAGACACAAAAGGUUUUCGGGGACGGGGAAAGAGAGGAGAACUUCUCAGUUUUCAGUCCGACGGCGACAAUCUGGAAGGAUGCUGCUCUAUGGACUGUUUUUUUUGGUUUCUGGGGGGGACUGAUUAAAAAAUAAAUACAUUUGCUUUUGAUUCAUGUUUUUGUGUGAAUAUCUAAAGUUACAUAAGCAUGUACAUUCCAUAUAAGCUGCACGGUUA